Molecule: long non-coding RNA, 1635 nt
Organism: Callithrix jacchus (white-tufted-ear marmoset)
Lineage: Eukaryota; Metazoa; Chordata; Mammalia; Primates; Cebidae
Source: Ensembl
UUAUAAGAGGACUCUCAGCCAGCCAAUGACACUGCCUAGCACCGAGGAGAGACAGAACCCGGAGGAGAACAGAGAGUGCGAAGGCAGUGAGGGAAGGAGGACCCCGGCAAACCCCAGCAUGAAAGUCAGCUCCGAGCACUACCUGCUGCCUCUCCUGCCUGCUCUGGUCAUCAGCACCAGGCAGAGAGAUGCUGCUGUAAGAAAAGGAUGAGGUGAAAGGAUUGGAUCUCUCAACAACUUGACAAAGCUGGAGGACUAGCUGGUUGUGGCAUCAUGGACUUUUUGACUUCUGCCCCUCUUCUCAUGAUUUUUAUUUAUCUCCAGGGUUAUCUUUGUGAAUGUGUCACUUUAUGAGACAAAAGGAACUUUAUGGAUAGAAUUAAUUUUGGUAACUCCAAAAUUUAAGUAGAGAUUUUCCUGGAUUAGCCAAAAGAAGAAAUCCAAGGUAAUCACACGAGCUCUUAAAAGAGCAAGGAUAAUUCAGAGCAAUGAAAAAAAAAGAAAUGCUUCGGAGAGGUAAGUCAGGAGUCAGAUUUGAAGUGUGUAAGGGUCUUGACUUGAUGUUGCUAGAUUUGAAUGGUUCCAUGAGCCUGGGAAUGUGGCACCAUCUAGGAUUUGGAGAGACUUCCUUCUGACAGCAAGGAAACAGGGACCUCUAUUCUACAACUAUAUGGAACUGAAUUCUGCCAAGAUCUUGAAGUAAACCUGGAAACAGAUUCUUCUUUUGGGCCUUCAUCAGCCAUGCUGAUGUUGAGUUCAGCACAGUGAAACCCAGAGCAGAGAACCUCAAGUGAGCUACACGGUGUCCAGACUUGUGACCUAUGGCACUGUGAGAUGAUACACUUGUUUUACCUUAAGUCACUCAAUUUGUGGUCAUUUGUUUCAGCAGUAAUAGAAAAUUAAUGUGGAUCUCAUAAAUUUCUUUUUAUAAUCUGAAAAUUUAAGAUGUUGGAGAAACUUUAUCUCCUACACCAGGAGUCAAAAACUACAACCUACUGACCAAAUCCAACCUACUGCCUGUUUCUGUACAGCUUGGAGUUAAGAAUGAUUUUACAUUUUAAAAUGGUUUUAAACACCAAAAUAAACAAUAUUUUUGAAACAUAGAGAUUACGUGAAAUAUACAUGUAUGAAUCCACAAAGUUUUAUUGGAAAACAGUCACAUUCAUUUAUCCAGAAGUCUAUAACUGCUUUUCAGAUACAAUGGAUGGGCAAAGAAGGUGUGAUGGGGAUCAUAUGGCCUACAAAGGUUAAAAUACCACCAGGGAAGCUUUAUUAUGGUCUCCCCACUCUUCCGUAAGAGGAACAUCCGUAACAGGGCAAUUCAUCUGUAUCUGCAGCCCUGAAAGGCUUUCAUUUUACUUAGAAGUUAGACAUUUGCUUAAAAAUUUUCAGAUGAAUUCUUGAUACCAUUUUAUAUGGCAUGACAGUGUUUAUCUCAGUAAGCAAAUGAUCAGGUCAUGUGUCUUUUUUUAGGCUCUGCCACUUCCCAGAUUUUGAGUUAGAGGGUAGCCCUCUGACUUCAGCUUUAUGUAGGGUUCAAGAAAAUUUACAGUUUUUAAGUGUGGAAGUGAUGCUCUUUGCAGCUCUCUACAUCUCUGAACUGACACUAGAUCCAUCUUAAAGAAAUGUUUUCAG